GCCUACCAUAGCAGUCGAGCGGUAGCACAGAGAGCUUGCUCUCGGGUGACGAGCGGCGGACGGGUGAGUAAUGUCUGGGAAACUGCCUGAUGGAGGGGGAUAACUACUGGAAACGGUAGCUAAUACCGCAUAACGUCGCAAGACCAAAGUGGGGGACCUUCGGGCCUCAUGCCAUCAGAUGUGCCCAGAUGGGAUUAGCUAGUAGGUGGGGUAACGGCUCACCUAGGCAACGAUCCCUAGCUGGUCUGAGAGGAUGACCAGCCACACUGGAACUGAGACACGGUCCAGACUCCUACGGGAGGCAGCAGUGGGGAAUAUUGCACAAUGGGCGCAAGCCUGAUGCAGCCAUGCCGCGUGUGUGAAGAAGGCCUUCGGGUUGUAAAGCACUUUCAGCGGGGAGGAAGGCGUUAAGGUUAAUAACCUUGGCGAUUGACGUUACCCGCAGAAGAAGCACCGGCUAACUCCGUGCCAGCAGCCGCGGUAAUACGGAGGGUGCAAGCGUUAAUCGGAAUUACUGGGCGUAAAGCGCACGCAGGCGGUCUGUCAAGUCGGAUGUGAAAUCCCCGGGCUCAACCUGGGAACUGCAUUCGAAACUGGCAGGCUAGAGUCUUGUAGAGGGGGGUAGAAUUCCAGGUGUAGCGGUGAAAUGCGUAGAGAUCUGGAGGAAUACCGGUGGCGAAGGCGGCCCCCUGGACAAAGACUGACGCUCACGUGCGAAAGCGUGGGGAGCAAACAGGAUUAGAUACCCUGGUAGUCCACGCCGUAAACGAUGUCGAUUUGGGAGGUUGUGCCCUUGAGGCGUGGCUUCCGGAGCUAACGCGUUAAAUCGACCGCCUGGGGGAGUACGGCCGCAAGGUUAAAACUCAGAUGAAUUGACGGGGGCCCGCACAAGCGGUGGAACCAUGUUGUUUUAAUUCGAUGCAACGCGAAGAACCUUACCUGGUCUUGACAUCCACAGAACUUUCAAAAAAAUGGAUUGGUGCCUUCGGGAACUGUGAAACAGGUGCUGCAUGGCUGUCGUCACCUCCUGUUGUAAAAAAGUUUGGGGUUAAAUCCCCCCAACGAGCGCAACCCUUUUUCUUUUGUUGCCAGCGGUUCGGCCGGGAAAUCAAAAGAAACUGCCAUGAUAAAUUGAAGGAA
RNAcentral lists this ribosomal RNA (1140 nucleotides) under Klebsiella pneumoniae. Its description in RNAcentral is "bacterial SSU rRNA". It matches the Rfam family "Bacterial small subunit ribosomal RNA", at positions 46 to 1171 of the family's 1533-position model. Lineage: Bacteria; Pseudomonadati; Pseudomonadota; Gammaproteobacteria; Enterobacterales; Enterobacteriaceae. The record is from RNAcentral.